RNAcentral lists this ribosomal RNA (1398 nucleotides) under metagenome. RNAcentral describes it as "bacterial LSU rRNA". It matches the Rfam family "Bacterial large subunit ribosomal RNA", at positions 1500 to 2925 of the family's 2925-position model. The record is from RNAcentral.
UGAUGUUCUCGUUAAAGCGUGUAGUUAUAUCUUUCACAGGUAAAUCCGUGAGAGAUGGCGAACGUGAUAGUACUCGGAAGCUUCGGCUGAAGAGAUAAUGGUUCUAAUCAUACCCCCGAGAAAAACCUCUAAGGUUAGGCUAAAGCGGCCCGUACCGUAAACCGACACAGGUAGUCGAGGAGAAUAUCCUAAGGUGCUCGGGUGAGCCGCGGAGAAGGAACUAGGCAAAUUGAUGCUGUAACUUCGGGAUAAAGCAUACCACACUAUGUGUGGUCUCAGUAAAAUGGUUCAACCAACUGUUUAACAAAAACACAGGGCCCUGCAAAAUCGUAAGAUGACGUAUAGAGCCUGAUACCUGCCCGGUGCUGGAAGGUUAAGGAAGGAUGUUCGGCGCAAGCCAAAGCUUCUGACUGAAGCCCCAGUAAACGGCGGCCGUAACGAUAACGGUCCUAAGGUAGCGAAAUUCCUUGUCGGGUAAGUUCCGACCUGCACGAAUGGUCUAAUGAGUUGAACGCUGUCUCCUCCGCGAGCCCGGCGAAAUUGUAGUAUCGGUGAAGAUGCCGGUUACCCGUCACGGGACGGAAAGACCCCGUGAACCUUCACUACAACUUUGCAUUGAUUUUGAGCAAACGAUGUGUAGAAUAGUUGGGACGCUACGAAGCGGUGCCGCCAGGUGCCGUGGAGCGGUCGUUGAAAUACCAACCUUCGUUUGCUUAGAGUCUAAUCCCUAACGGGACACAGUGCAUGGUGGGUAGUUUGACUGGGGUGGUCGCCUCCUAAAAAGUAACGGAGGCUUGCAAAGGUUCCCUCAGUACGGUUGGUAAUCGUACGAAGAGCGCAUUAGUAUAAGGGAGCUUGACUGUGAGACAGACAAGUCGAGCAGGGUCGAAAGACGGCUAAAGUGAUCCGGUGGUUCUGCAUGGAAGGGCCAUCGCUCAAAGGAUAAAAGGUACUCCCGGGAUAACAGGCUGAUCUCCCCCAAGAGCUCAUAUCGACGGGGAGGUUUGGCACCUCGAUGUCGGUUCGUCACAUCCUGGGGCUGGAGAAGGUCCCAAGGGUUCGGCUGUUCGCCGAUUAAAGUGGCACGUGAACUGGGUUCAGAACGUCGCAAGACAGUUCGGUCCCUAUCUGUGAUGGGCGUUAGAAAAUUGAGUGGACAUGACCUUAGUACGAGAGGACCGGGUCGUACGUACCGCUGGUGUAUCUGUUGUGCCGCCAGGUGCAGCGCAGAGUAGCUAUGUACGGACAGGAUAAACGCUGAAAGCAUCUAAGCGUGAAACCUUCCACGAGAUGAGUUUUCUUUUAAGGGUCGUCAAAGACUAUGACGUUGAUAGGCUAUAGGUGUAAAGGUGGCAACAUCAAAGCCGAGUAGUACUAAUUGCCCGUACGCUUUAACUA